RNAcentral lists this ribosomal RNA (253 nucleotides) under uncultured bacterium. RNAcentral describes it as "partial 16S ribosomal RNA". It matches the Rfam family "Bacterial small subunit ribosomal RNA", at positions 524 to 776 of the family's 1533-position model. The record is from RNAcentral.
UACGUAGGCAGCGAGCGUUGUUCGGAGUUACUGGGCGUAAAGGGUGUGUAGGCGGUUUGGGAAGUCUGGUGUGAAAUCUCCCGGCUCAACUGGGAGGGUGCGCCGGAAACUGCCGGACUAGAGUGCGGGAGAGGAGAGUGGAAUUCCUGGUGUAGCGGUGAAAUGCGUAGAUAUCAGGAGGAACACCUGUGGCGAAAGCGGCGCACUGGACCACAACUGACGCUGAGGCGCGAAAGCUAGGGGAGCAAACAGG